AUACGGAGGAUGCGAGCGUUAAUCGGAAUUACUGGGCGUAAAGCGUGCGCAGGCGGUUUUGUAAGACAGUGGUGAAAUCCCCGGGCUCAACCUGGGAACUGCCAUUGUGACUGCAAGGCUGGAGUGCGGCAGAGGGGGAUGGAAUUCCGCGUGUAGCAGUGAAAUGCGUAGAUAUGCGGAGGAAAACCGAUGGCGAAGGCAAUCCCCUGGGCCUGCACUGACGCUCAUGCACGAAAGCGUGGGGAGCAAACAGGAUUAGAUACCCUGGUAGUCCACGCCCUAAACGAUGUCAACUGGUUGUUGGGGAUUUAUUUUCUCAGUAACGAAGCUAACGCGUGAAGUUGACCGCCUGGGGAGUACGGCCGCAAGGUUAAAACUCAAAGGAAUUGACGGGG
This 395-nucleotide ribosomal RNA is filed under the name uncultured bacterium. RNAcentral describes it as "partial 16S ribosomal RNA". It matches the Rfam family "Bacterial small subunit ribosomal RNA", at positions 523 to 918 of the family's 1533-position model. The record is from RNAcentral.